CCUACGGGGGGCUGUAGUGAGGAAUAUUGGUCAAUGGACGAGAGUCUGAACCAGCCAAGUAGCGUGAAGGAUGACUGCCCUAUGGGUUGUAAACUUCUUUUAUAUGGGAAUAAAAUGUUCCACGUGUGGGAUUUUGUAUGUACCAUAUGAAUAAGGAUCGGCUAACUCCGUGCCAGCAGCCGCGGUAAUACGGAGGAUCCGAGUGUUAUCCGGAUUUAUUGGGUUUAAAGGGAGCGUAGGUGGAUUGUUAAGUCAGUUGUGAAAGUUUGCGGCUCAACCGUAAAAUUGCAGUUGAAACUGGCAGUCUUGAGUACAGUAGAGGUGGGCGGAAUUCGUGGUGUAGCGGUGAAAUGCUUAGAUAUCACGAAGAACUCCGAUUGCGAAGGCAGUUCACUGGACUGCAACUGACACUGAGGCUCGAAAGUGUGGGUAUCAAACAGGAUUAGAUACCCUAGUAGUC
This 460-nucleotide ribosomal RNA is filed under the name uncultured bacterium. RNAcentral describes it as "partial 16S ribosomal RNA". It matches the Rfam family "Bacterial small subunit ribosomal RNA", at positions 338 to 795 of the family's 1533-position model. The record is from RNAcentral.